ACGUUAUCGGGAGCAGUGUCUCCCAUAAUGC
Molecule: regulatory RNA element, 31 nt
Organism: Gasterosteus aculeatus (three-spined stickleback)
Lineage: Eukaryota; Metazoa; Chordata; Actinopteri; Perciformes; Gasterosteidae
Rfam family: Iron response element II
About the family: IRE, TFRC, SLC40A1, SDHB, SLC11A2, CDC42BPA, ACO2, ALAS2_H.SAPIENS, CDC14A, EPAS1, ALAS2, qoxD, Hao1, NDUFS1, transferrin, Aconitate.
Source: Rfam